CACUCAUCCAGAGAGGUGGAGGGAUACGGCCCUGUGAAGCCCGGCAACCCGCUGCAAUGUCGCACGAAGGGUGCCAAUUCCGGCAAAGCUUUGCUUUGCAAGAUGAGGG
RNAcentral lists this non-coding RNA (109 nucleotides) under Ktedonobacter racemifer. Its description in RNAcentral is "SAM-I sequence". It matches the Rfam family "SAM riboswitch aptamer (S box leader)". Rfam says of the family: The SAM riboswitch is found upstream of a number of genes which code for proteins involved in methionine or cysteine biosynthesis in Gram-positive bacteria. The SAM riboswitch acts at the level of transcription termination control. Lineage: Bacteria; Bacillati; Chloroflexota; Ktedonobacteria; Ktedonobacterales; Ktedonobacteraceae. The record is from RNAcentral. RNAcentral also lists the same sequence under 1 other name.